CAAACGACUCUCGGCAACGGAUAUCUCGGCUCACGCAUCGAUGAAGAACGUAGCAAAAUGCGAUACUUGGUGUGAAUUGCAGAAUCCCGUGAACCAUCGAGUUUUUGAACGCAAGUUGCGCCCGAAGCCUUUUGGYUGAGGGCACGUCUGCCUGGGCGUCACAC
Molecule: ribosomal RNA, 164 nt
Filed under: Ligularia tongolensis
Lineage: Eukaryota; Viridiplantae; Streptophyta; Magnoliopsida; Asterales; Asteraceae
Description: 5.8S ribosomal RNA
Rfam family: 5.8S ribosomal RNA
About the family: 5.8S ribosomal RNA (5.8S rRNA) is a component of the large subunit of the eukaryotic ribosome. It is transcribed by RNA polymerase I as part of the 45S precursor that also contains 18S and 28S rRNA.
Source: RNAcentral